CAUAGAGGCCUGCAUGAGAACAAGGAGACCAACCAAGCUUCAUCUGCUCCCUGUGAAAGUCUCUAAAGGUGAAACACUCUCAGGAAAAGAAACCGCCUGAAGCCCUGUGGACAACUCUAAGAGAGGACGGUACGACACAGCUGGCAGAGCCAUUGCUGUAAGCUUGGUACAUGGCGCUCCGCCAACAAACCUCCUCUCACCAACAGGAUUUUCUCUUCUGGUUGAUGCUUCAGCAAAACCAGAGCUACAAGACAAAGAGUCACAAGGUCAGUUGGUAGUUUAACUGUUAUCCUGCAUUAGAAUUAGGUCACAUUACAAUAUUCUCUUGGCGUUUUGAGAGGGAGAACCAAUCCAGCCCAGUCUGCUCAUUGCUGAAUGCUCACUUCCUAUAGUUUGGAUUCC
Long non-coding RNA from Gasterosteus aculeatus aculeatus (three-spined stickleback), 402 nucleotides. NCBI's taxonomy places the organism in Eukaryota, Metazoa, Chordata, Actinopteri, Perciformes, Gasterosteidae. The record is from Ensembl.